AGUGGCGGACGGGUGAGUAACGCGUGGGUAACCUGCCUCACACUGGGGGACAACAGUUAGAAAUGACUGCUAAUACCGCAUAAGCGCACAGGACCGCAUGGUCUAGUGUGAAAAACUCCGGUGGUGUGAGAUGGACCCGCGUUUGAUUAGCUGGUUGGUGGGGUAACGGCCUACCAAGGCGACGAUCAAUAGCCGACCUGAGAGGGUGACCGGCCACAUUGGGACUGAGACACGGCCCAAACUCCUACGGGAGGCAGCAUG
This 261-nucleotide ribosomal RNA is filed under the name uncultured bacterium. RNAcentral describes it as "partial 16S ribosomal RNA". It matches the Rfam family "Bacterial small subunit ribosomal RNA", at positions 94 to 353 of the family's 1533-position model. The record is from RNAcentral.